CUUUAUGUUUUCUAUUCUCAUUUCUGGUGACGGUGGUAUUUUGCUGCGUCGGCGGCAUUCACUCUAUCUCUUGGGGGGCUAUCGCUCCGGUCACCCGGUCAUGUCUGUAUUCUAUCCUUCUCUCAUCUAUCAGAUUGAUUUUAUAGUGGUCCGUAAGCCUGUUAUCUCCAUAUUUUGUAACAUCGAACCAGCCUGGCUAGUUGCAGUGGUUGUUUAUCCGUGAUGUCAACUAUCAUACCAUAUUACAUUAUAUUAUAGCCUACGUUCAUUCAUUCAUCCAUUCAUUCAUUUACUCAUUCAUCACCAUGUUCUACUCUCUCCCUUAGGUCACGAUUCCGGCUCCCUACCUACUGUCAUAAUCUAAGUUUUCAGCGCUCUCCUGACCAAGAUGGUGUCUCCUUGUAAGCUGUAGGUGAGUUCACUUCUAAUCUCUAUUUUUGGGGCAGGCUACGCCCGCCUCCAUCUCCGCUGGAGGAUAUGCCGUCCUACCCUGGAGUUCAACGCGAAGACGGGAACCUUCGCCAAACAGAUUCAUGCAUUUUAUAUCAAGUGUAAAUUGUUCGCCAAACGGAUUCAUGCAUUUUUGUAUCAUGUCUAUUAUUCAAUAAAUGUUAAUAACGUUCAAUUGCCUCUCGAGUCUUCAUGGUAGAAAUGGGAGCUUGCGUAAAUUCUACCAGGGAGACUCGAAUUUCUCGGCUGUCAAACUUACUAGGCUAACCAUCCAAUCUCCCUUUUGACAGAUCAUACAUGCGUCAUCAUUGCCCAGGAUCGUCAACCAAUCACAACGCGAGAUUGGGGAUUUCCCCGUUACACAUCACUCAGGCAUCGUUCCCUCUCAGCCAAUGGAUCGCAUUCACGUUUGUUUAAAAAUCAGUCACUCAUUCUGAUCUCUGCUUUCCAGUUAAGCCGACUUUGAAGCCACCACCACCCCUCCGUCCACCGUCACCAGUGGUUCCCGUCUGUUAGGGGGCAGGCUACGCCCGCCUCCAUCUCCGCUGGAGGAUAUGCCGUCCUACCCUGGAGUUCAACGCGAAGACGGGAACCUUCGCCAAACAGAUUCAUGCAUUUUAUAUCAAGUGUAAAUUGUUCGCCAAACGGAUUCAUGCAUUUUUGUAUCAUGUCUAUUAUUCAAUAAAUGUUAAUAACGUUCAAUUGCCUCUCGAGUCUUCAUGGUAGAAAUGGGAGCUUGCGUAAAUUCUACCAGGGAGACUCGAAUUUCUCGGCUGUCAAACUUACUAGGCUAACCAUCCAAUCUCCCUUUUGACAGAUCAUACAUGCGUCAUCAUUGCCCAGGAUCGUCAACCAAUCACAACGCGAGAUUGGGGAUUUCCCCGUUACACAUCACUCAGGCAUCGUUCCCUCUCAGCCAAUGGAUCGCAUUCACGUUUGUUUAAAAAUCAGUCACUCAUUCUGAUCUCUGCUUUCCAGUUAAGCCGACUUUGAAGCCACCACCACCCCUCCGUCCACCGUCACCAGUGGUUCCCGUCUGUUAGGGGGCAGGCUACGCCCGCCUCCAUCUCCGCUGGAGGAUAUGCCGUCCUACCCUGGAGUUCAACGCGAAGACGGGAACCUUCGCCAAACAGAUUCAUGCAUUUUAUAUCAAGUGUAAAUUGUUCGCCAAACGGAUUCAUGCAUUUUUGUAUCAUGUCUAUUAUUCAAUAAAUGUUAAUAACGUUCAA
Engraulis encrasicolus (European anchovy) is the source of this 1679-nucleotide long non-coding RNA. RefSeq lists it as uncharacterized. The transcript has 2 exons. The record is from RefSeq and is a predicted model, not a curated record. Lineage: Eukaryota; Metazoa; Chordata; Actinopteri; Clupeiformes; Engraulidae.